GACGAACGCUGGCGGCGGGCUUAACACAUGCAAGUCGAACGGAAAGGCCCUGCUUUUGUGGGGUGCUCGAGUGGCGAACGGGUGAGUAACACGUGAGUAACCUGCCCUUGACUUUGGGAUAACUUCAGGAAACUGGGGCUAAUACCGGAUAGGAGCUCCUGCUGCAUGGUGGGGGUUGGAAAGUUUCGGCGGUUGGGGAUGGACUCGCGGCUUAUCAGCUUGUUGGUGGGGUAGUGGCUUACCAAGGCUUUGACGGGUAGCCGGCCUGAGAGGGUGACCGGCCACAUUGGGACUGCGAUACGGCCCAGACUCCUACGGGAGGCAGCAGUGGGGAAUAUUGCACAAUGGGCGGAAGCCUGAUGCAGCAACGCCGCGUGCGGGAUGACGGCCUUCGGGUUGUAAACCGCUUUCGCCUGUGACGAAGCGUGAGUGACGGUAAUGGGUAAAGAAGCACCGGCUAACUACGUG
This 468-nucleotide ribosomal RNA is filed under the name uncultured bacterium. RNAcentral's name for it is "partial 16S ribosomal RNA". It matches the Rfam family "Bacterial small subunit ribosomal RNA", at positions 28 to 507 of the family's 1533-position model. The record is from RNAcentral.